CUACUGGGGUUUCUAAUCCUGUUCGCUCCCCACACUUUCGCUCCUCAGCGUCAGGUAAUGCCCAGAGAACCGCCUUCGCCACCGGUGUUCUUCCUGAUAUCUGCGCAUUUCACCGCUACACCAGGAGUUCCGUUCUCCCCUGCAUACCUCUAGUCAGCCCGUAUCGAAAGCAAGCUCAGAGUUAAGCCCUGAGUUUUCACUCCCGACGUGACAAACCGCCUACGAGCCCUUUACACCCAAUAAUUCCGGACAACGCUCGCACCCUACGUAUUACCGCGGCUGCUGGCAC
This 289-nucleotide ribosomal RNA is filed under the name uncultured Nocardioides sp. Its description in RNAcentral is "partial 16S ribosomal RNA". The record is from RNAcentral. Lineage: Bacteria; Bacillati; Actinomycetota; Actinomycetes; Propionibacteriales; Nocardioidaceae.